UCACUCUAGCGAGACUGCCGGUAAUAAACCGGAGGAAGGUGGGGAUGACGUCAAUCAUCAUGCCCCUUAUGACCUGGGCUACACACGUGCUACAAUGGCUGGUACAACGAGUCGCGAGUCGGUGACGGCAAGCUAAUCUCUUAAAGCCAGUCUCAGUUCGGAUUGUAGGCUGCAACUCGCCUACAUGAAGUCGGAAUCGCUAGUAAUCGCGGAUCAGCACGCCGCGGUGAAUACGUUCCCGGGCCUUGUACACACCGCCCGUCACACCACGAGAGUUUGUAACACCCGAAGUCGGUGAGGUAACCAUUUGGAGCCAGCCGCCUAAGGUGGGAUAGAUGAUUGGGGUGAAGUCGUAACAAGGUAACCGUAGA
RNAcentral lists this ribosomal RNA (371 nucleotides) under uncultured bacterium. Its description in RNAcentral is "bacterial SSU rRNA". It matches the Rfam family "Bacterial small subunit ribosomal RNA", at positions 1135 to 1506 of the family's 1533-position model. The record is from RNAcentral.